UCCAUUUGUCCAACAAUUGCCGCACAAAAUAAAUCUUACGCAGAAGAAGAUGACAAAAACUUUCAUAAUUAGAGGCACGCCCUAAGAAGAAACGAAACUGAAAGUAUAGAUGAUAAAAUCUAAAUUAAAAUUUCCAUAAACACAAAAAUCAAAAUAAAUAAAUAAAUAAAUUCCCGAGCUACAUAUGACAAAGCACACAAAAGCACUUUCUUUUGUGACAUAUAAACCUGCUUGUAUAUAUAAACCUGCUUGCUCAUAAUAAAUUAAUUAAAUCCCAAUUGAGUUUUGUGACAAAUACUUUGAUGGUCUUCUCCACAAAUGGCUUCCACAAGAAUUAUAAUUAUGGCUCUUUUCUUAUUAAUGGGUCUUCUCAGUUCCUCACAAGUUACAGACGCUCGACAACUCAAUAGACUGCCAAGUAAAGAAGGUGAAAAGAUGGAAAGUGACGGACGUUUUCAUUGCCGUUAUGGGUGCUGUGGUUUUGCCCCAUAUUGUCGAUGCUGCCCUUACCCCAACACUCACACUUCCACCAAGCCACUUACCUAGACUGUUUCAUGCCUUUUUCUUUAAUUUGUAUAAUAACUUGUGUCGUCUUAUCCUUCAUCUAAUAAGGCGUUCAAAGAAAGGAAAGGAAAGUCGGGGUAUCUUCAAAAAGCCUAAACAAUUCACUCAAAAUGUGAGCACUUAGGAGGUGAUUGGUACGAUGGAAUGAAAUGAAGGGAGAAAAUGAAUGACAAACCUUGGUGAUUCAUUUACUUGGUAUGCAUAAGGAAUACAAAUGAAAUGGAAUUGUAAUUCCUUGUUUGAUUCCAUUCCUAUAAUUGGUAGCUAAAAAAUAAAUUCUAGAAAUGGAAUGUAAUUAUUUUGAGGUUAUUGGUGCCUAAAUACACCAACUUUGGAUCAA
This is a long non-coding RNA of Salvia miltiorrhiza (redroot sage), 904 nucleotides long. RefSeq lists it as uncharacterized. The transcript has 2 exons. The record is from RefSeq and is a predicted model, not a curated record. Lineage: Eukaryota; Viridiplantae; Streptophyta; Magnoliopsida; Lamiales; Lamiaceae.